RNAcentral lists this long non-coding RNA (383 nucleotides) under Eucalyptus grandis. RNAcentral describes it as "long non-coding RNA (EGRA_LNC005891)". Lineage: Eukaryota; Viridiplantae; Streptophyta; Magnoliopsida; Myrtales; Myrtaceae. The record is from RNAcentral.
AGCUCCUCCUCGAAGGCCACGAUCUUUUGGAAGAUCGAAGUGCUUGGGUUCAGCUCGCUCUCGCCAUUCACCAGUGCCUGGUCGACCAGGACUUGCCUCAGCUUCUGCAUCAGCGGGUAGGUGGCGCUGCAGGCGUCAUCAGCGUAGGUGAACACAUGCUCGCGGUCGACCACUUUGAGCAGGUCCCUCUCACAGUAGUGAGACGGGUGGAGCUCGCCAUUAGCGCCCACCAUGAGGACUUUCCUGGCCACCCUGCCGACCGUGUUCUUCACCGUGCUCUUCAGGUUCUCCUCCAGAUGCCUCAGGUCAACUGCCUGGCACAGAGCAACCAGGAAAGUGGAAGACAUGAGCUUCAAUAUGUCGAUGGCCUCGGCGGUCUUCCU